This 262-nucleotide unclassified non-coding RNA is filed under the name plant metagenome. RNAcentral's name for it is "partial contains small subunit ribosomal RNA, internal transcribed spacer 1, and 5.8S ribosomal RNA". The record is from RNAcentral.
UCUCCGUUGGUGAACCAGCGGAGGGAUCAUUACCGAGUUUACAACUCCAAAACCCCUAUGUGAACGUUACCAAACUGUUGCCUCGGCGGGAAAUUCAUGCCCCGGGCGCGUCGCAGCCCCGGACCAAGGCGCCCGUCGGAGGACCAACCAAAACUCUUUUGUAUGUCCCUCGCGGACUUUUAUAAUUCUGAACCAUCUCGGCGCCCCUAUCGGGCGUUUCGAAAAUGAAUCAAAACUUUCAACAACGGAUCUCUUGGUUCUG